RNAcentral lists this ribosomal RNA (489 nucleotides) under uncultured bacterium. RNAcentral's name for it is "partial 16S ribosomal RNA". It matches the Rfam family "Bacterial small subunit ribosomal RNA", at positions 29 to 504 of the family's 1533-position model. The record is from RNAcentral.
AGUGAACGCUGGCGGUAGGCCUAACACAUGCAAGUCGAACGGCAGCACAGUAAGAGCUUGCUCUUACGGGUGGCGAGUGGCGAACGGGUGAGGAAUACAUCGGAAUCUACUUUUUCGUGGGGGAUAACGUAGGGAAACUUACGCUAAUACCGCAUACGACCUACGGGUGAAAGCAGGGGAUCUUCGGACCUUGCGCGAUUGAAUGAGCCGAUGUCGGAUUAGCUAGUUGGCGGGGUAAAGGCCCACCAAGGCGACGAUCCGUAGCUGGUCUGAGAGGAUGAUCAGCCACACUGGAACUGAGACACGGUCCAGACUCCUACGGGAGGCAGCAGUGGGGAAUAUUGGACAAUGGGCGCAAGCCUGAUCCAGCCAUACCGCGUGGGUGAAGAAGGCCUUCGGGUUGUAAAGCCCUUUUGUUGGGAAAGAAAAGCAGCAGGUUAAUACCCCGCUGUUCUGACGGUACCCAAAGAAUAAGCACCGGCUAACUUC